UACGAAGGGGGCUAGCGUUGUUCGGAAUUACUGGGCGUAAAGGGCGCGUAGGCGGCUUCGCUAGUCGGGCGUGAAAUGCCUGGGCUUAACCCGGGAAUUGCGUUCGAUACUUCGAGGCUAGAGUGUGGGAGAGGUUGGUGGAAUUCCCAGUGUAGAGGUGAAAUUCGUAGAUAUUGGGAAGAACACCGGUGGCGAAGGCGGCCAACUGGACCACAACUGACGCUGAGGCGCGAAAGCGUGGGGAGCGAACAGG
Molecule: ribosomal RNA, 253 nt
Filed under: uncultured bacterium
Lineage: Bacteria
Description: partial 16S ribosomal RNA
Rfam family: Bacterial small subunit ribosomal RNA
Source: RNAcentral